This 486-nucleotide ribosomal RNA is filed under the name uncultured bacterium. Its description in RNAcentral is "partial 16S ribosomal RNA". It matches the Rfam family "Bacterial small subunit ribosomal RNA", at positions 30 to 507 of the family's 1533-position model. The record is from RNAcentral.
AUUGAACGCUGGCGGCAUGCCUUACACAUGCAAGUCGAACGGCAGCACGGGUGCUUGCACCUGGUGGCGAGUGGCGAACGGGUGAGUAAUACAUCGGAACAUGUCCUGUAGUGGGGGAUAGCCCGGCGAAAGCCGGAUUAAUACCGCAUACGAUCUACGGAUGAAAGCGGGGGACCUUCGGGCCUCGCGCUAUAGGGUUGGCCGAUGGCUGAUUAGCUAGUUGGUGGGGUAAAGGCCUACCAAGGCGACGAUCAGUAGCUGGUCUGAGAGGACGACCAGCCACACUGGGACUGAGACACGGCCCAGACUCCUACGGGAGGCAGCAGUGGGGAAUUUUGGACAAUGGGCGAAAGCCUGAUCCAGCAAUGCCGCGUGUGUGAAGAAGGCCUUCGGGUUGUAAAGCACUUUUGUCCGGAAAGAGAUCCUUGGCCCUAAUACGGUCGGGGGAUGACGGUACCGGAAGAAUAAGCACCGGCUAACUACGUG